GACGAACGCUGGCGGCGUGCCUAAUACAUGCAAGUCGAGCGGAGUUGAUAAGGUGCUUGCACCUUUGAUACUCAGCGGCGGACGGGUGAGUAACACGUAGGCAACCUGCCCAGAAGACCGGGAUAACAGGCGGAAACGAUUGCUAAUACCGGAUACGCGAUUCUGUUGCAUGACGGAAUCGGGAAAGGCGGAGCAAUCUGCUACUUUUGGAUGGACCUGCGGCGCAUUAGCUAGUUGGUGAGGUAACGGCUCACCAAGGCGACGAUGCGUAGCCGACCUGAGAGGGUGAUCGGCCACACUGGGACUGAGACACGGCCCAGACUCCUACGGGAGGCAGCAGUAGGGAAUCUUCCGCAAUGGGCGAAAGCCUGACGGAGCAACGCCGCGUGAGUGAUGAAGGUUUUCGGAUCGUAAAGCUCUGUUGCCAGGGAAGAACGGCCAGGAGAGUAACUGCUCUUGGUUUGACGGUACCUGAGAAGAAAGCCCCGGCUAACUACGUGCCAGCCGCCGCAGUAA
This 516-nucleotide ribosomal RNA is filed under the name uncultured bacterium. RNAcentral's name for it is "partial 16S ribosomal RNA". It matches the Rfam family "Bacterial small subunit ribosomal RNA", at positions 28 to 523 of the family's 1533-position model. The record is from RNAcentral.